GGAUCUGGCCCGUGGGGCCGCCUCGCCCCGAGCGCUUGCCCCGGGGGGGCCGGGCUCCCCGUGCUGCCCGGGGGCUGCCGAGCCGGAGCCGGAGCCGGAGCAGACUGGUGGUGUUCCAGGGACUGGGAGCAGAGUCCUUCCCUCCCCCAAGAACCGCGCAGGCUCUCCUGGUUGUUCCUGCCCAGCCAUGCAGUGCGUGGUGAAGCUCUAUUUGCUGGGUGCGUUGCUGUCCCUGCUGUCGGUUCUCUUUGGACUGAUGGACUCCCUGGACAGCCUGAUGGCCCCUCAGGGCCUGGAGCGGUGCCUCUCCAGCCCAUGGAUGGAACCGGGGGGCAGCCUUGCUGAGGGGCAGCCGAAGAUCCUCCAAGGACAGGCGAAGCGAAGGACAAACAAAGCCUUUGGCUCAUACCUCUGAGCUCUGGGGGGGCACAGGGACUACUCCCUGAGGGCUCACCGUGGUGCUUGGACUCUGGCUUUGGCUCUUCGGGGCUGGGUUGCUGGUGUGGCCCUUCCUGUGAGACGGAGGGCACCAAGCUUCUGGCCUGGUGGUGGCUGCUCAGAUAACGUCCCUGCUAAAAUUAUGCCGAUGGCAGGGCCACCAUGAGGCACUGGGGGGGUGUCCUGUGCACAGAUCCCUCUCCAGCUCUGCCUACCAUGCAGAAUGUCCUGGGGCAGUGGGGAAUGGGAGGACCCGUGUCUCCCCUUGGAGUGAAUUCUGAGCGGUAGGGGCUGCUCAGAGCAGGGGCCUGGCAUGGGUUUGUGGGGAGGGAGCUCUGUGGGGUUGGGGGGGGGGGGGAGGGAGGAAUCUUGAGCUGUUUGAGGCGCUGGUAUUGCCCUAAUGAAAGGCCUCUCCAAGGGCGAUGAUCUUGAUCUGCUGUUCUAGUCCUUCAUCCCCAGCUGCAAAGCUAGCCAGUGCUCUCCAAGGCUGGAGACGCCUUGAUCUGUGGGCGCUGGGCUGGGGCUGGAAGAGGGGAGUCUGCAGCUGGUGUGCGCUGUGCAGGGGAGAUGGAACAAGCAGCCCUUCUUAAUGUGCCUCCUACCUGGCCUGGGAGGCCUCCCCUCCCCCUGGGGCCUGCUGUGAGCCAGCAAGGGAGGGACAGCUGCACGAGGAACCUCCCACUCCCUGCCCGUCUGCCUCCUCCCUUAGCAGCGCUGCGCCCCACUGCCCAGCUGUGAGGGGUCAGCUCUCCUGUCUCUGGGGCAGUGGCCUUCUGGGACCUGGAGCCCUUGAUCCAUUUGCUCCAGAUUCUCUUUUCAGAGGGAAGAGGGGCCCUACCUGUUUUCCGGGGGGUGGGAUUUCUGUGCAAAGGCGUCUACCCCCUUGCCCCACUGGCCGGGGCGUGUGCUUGCCCCUCUCUGCCUGGAAGGAUGUUGAGUCUCUUACUGCAUGUGACCUCCAGAAUGCUGCGGCCUGGGGUUGCUAGAGUCUGGGGCACGCCCAGAGCACGUGUGCCCCUGCUUGUUGGAAGGGCUGCGGCAAGUGACCGACCCAGAUGCCCUGUAUUCAUGGUGUUUCCAGGUGCCACUGGACAGCCCGGCCCCUUCCCUACCACAUGCUCCGUCCCUGUGCUCUGUACAUGCUGUGGGGGGGUUGCAGAAGCUUCCUGCCUGCCCACACUGGCUCGGUCCUGGGAUGGGAGCCACAGCGAGAGCCCUGCUGUAGACAAGGCUGCGGGUUUCCCUCUGCUCAUGUCUGCGAGCCCCGAGCUGGCUGUGCUUGGGAGCUCCCUGGCCUCGCUAGCCAGCAGCAAGAGGCCCAAGGCUGGGCUUUUGCUUCUGGAGGGUACCCAGAAGUCACCUGCUACAGGACAGGCCCAUCAAAGGAAAGUAGCCGUCACCUACAGCCCCCACCUAAAACCUCUCCAGCGCAUCAUCAGGGAUCUACAACCUAGCCUGAAGGACGACCCAUCACUCUCACAGCUCUUGGGAGACAGGCCAGUCCUUGCCUACGGACAGCCCCCCAACCUGAAGCAAAUACUCACUAGCAACCACACAACAAAAACACUAACCCAGGAACUUAGCCCUGCAACAAACCCUGCUGCCAACUCGGUGUCCCUUGAAUAGAUAUACAGACAAUCAUGGGACCUAACCACAUUAGCCUCACCAUCAGAGGCUCGUUCACCUGCACAUCUACCAAUGUGAUAUGUGCCAGCAGUGUCCCUCUGCCCUGUACAUUGGCCAAACUGGCCAGUCUCUAUGCAAAACAAUAAAUGGACACAAAUCAGACACCAAGAAUGGUAACAUUCAAAAACCAGUAGGAGAACACUUCAAUCUCCCUGGACACUCAAUAACAGACUUAAAAAUGGCCAUUCUUCACCAGAAGAACUUCAAAAACAGACUCCAACGAGAAACUGCAGAACUGGAAUUAAUUUGCAAACUGGACACCAUCAAAUUAGGCCUGAAUAAAGACUGGGAGUGGCUGGGUCACUACAAAAAGUAAUUUUCCCUCUGUUAAUACUCACACCUUCUUGUCAACUGCUGGGAAUGGGCCACAUCCACCCUGCUUGAAUUGGCCUCAUUAGCCCUGACCUCCCCACUUGGUAAAGCAACUCCCAUCUUUUCAUGUGCUGUGUUUUUAUACCUGCAUACUGUAUUUUCCACUCCAUGCAUCUGAUGAAGUGGUUUUGAGCCCAGGAAAGCUUAUGCCCAAAUACAGUCGUUAAUCUCUAAGGUG
Caretta caretta (loggerhead turtle) is the source of this 2674-nucleotide non-coding RNA. Lineage: Eukaryota; Metazoa; Chordata; Testudines; Cheloniidae. The record is from RefSeq and is a predicted model, not a curated record.